RNAcentral lists this ribosomal RNA (1452 nucleotides) under uncultured organism. Its description in RNAcentral is "SSU rRNA". It matches the Rfam family "Bacterial small subunit ribosomal RNA". The record is from RNAcentral.
AGCUACAGGCUUAACACAUGCAAGUCGAGGGGCAGCAUUUUAGUUUGCUUGCAAACUGAAGAUGGCGACCGGCGCACGGGUGAGUAACACGUAUCCAACCUGCCGAUAACUCCGGGAUAGCCUUUCGAAAGAAAGAUUAAUACCGGAUAGCAUACGAAUAUCGCAUGAUAUUUUUAUUAAAGAAUUUCGGUUAUCGAUGGGGAUGCGUUCCAUUAGUUUGUUGGCGGGGUAACGGCCCACCAAGACUACGAUGGAUAGGGGUUCUGAGAGGAAGGUCCCCCACAUUGGAACUGAGACACGGUCCAAACUCCUACGGGAGGCAGCAGUGAGGAAUAUUGGUCAAUGGGCGAGAGCCUGAACCAGCCAAGUAGCGUGAAGGAUGAAGGCUCUAUGGGUCGUAAACUUCUUUUAUAUGGGAAUAAAGUUUUCCACGUGUGGAAUUUUGUAUGUACCAUAUGAAUAAGGAUCGGCUAACUCCGUGCCAGCAGCCGCGGUAAUACGGAGGAUCCGAGCGUUAUCCGGAUUUAUUGGGUUUAAAGGGAGCGUAGGUGGAUUGUUAAGUCAGUUGUGAAAGUUUGCGGCUCAACCGUAAAAUUGCAGUUGAAACUGGCAGUCUUGAGUACAGUAGAGGUGGGCGGAAUUCGUGGUGUAGCGGUGAAAUGCUUAGAUAUCACGAAGAACUCCGAUUGCGAAGGCAGCUCACUAGACUGUCACUGACACUGAUGCUCGAAAGUGUGGGUAUCAAACAGGAUUAGAUACCCUGGUAGUCCACACAGUAAACGAUGAAUACUCGCUGUUUGCGAUAUACAGUAAGCGGCCAAGCGAAAGCAUUAAGUAUUCCACCUGGGGAGUACGCCGGCAACGGUGAAACUCAAAGGAAUUGACGGGGGCCCGCACAAGCGGAGGAACAUGUGGUUUAAUUCGAUGAUACGCGAGGAACCUUACCCGGGCUUAAAUUGCAACAGAAUAUAUUGGAAACAGUAUAGCCGUAAGGCUGUUGUGAAGGUGCUGCAUGGUUGUCGUCAGCUCGUGCCGUGAGGUGUCGGCUUAAGUGCCAUAGCGAGCGCAACCCUUAUCUUUAGUUACUAACAGGUUAUGCUGAGGACUCUAGAGAGACUGCCGUCGUAAGAUGUGAGGAAGGUGGGGAUGACGUCAAAUCAGCACGGCCCUUACGUCCGGGGCUACACACGUGUUACAAUGGGGGGUACAGAAGGCGGCUACCUGGUGACAGGAUGCUAAUCCCAAAAACCUCUCUCAGUUCGGAUCGAAGUCUGCAACCCGACUUCGUGAAGCUGGAUUCGCUAGUAAUCGCGCAUCAGCCAUGGCGCGGUGAAUACGUUCCCGGGCCUUGUACACACCGCCCGUCAAGCCAUGAAAGCCGGGGGUACCUGAAGUACGUAACCGCAAGGAGCGUCCUAGGGUAAAACUGGUAAUUGGGGCUAAGUCAUAACA